UAACAGGCCUUCGGGCGCUGACAAGUGGCGGACGGGUGAGUAACGCGUAGGAAUCUGCCUUAUAGUGGGGGACAACUUGGGGAAACUCAAGCUAAUACCGCAUACGCCCUACGGGGGAAAGCGGGGGAUCUUCGGACCUCGCGCUAUGAGAUGAGCCUGCGUUAGAUUAGCUAGUUGGUGGGGUAAGGGCCUACCAAGGCGACGAUCUAUAGCUGGUCUGAGAGGACGAUCAGCCACACUGGGACUGAGACACGGCCCAUACUCCUACGGGAGGCAGCAGUGGGACUCCUACUGGAGGCAGCAGUGGGACUCCUACGGGAGGCAGCAGUGGGACUCCUACGGGAGGCAGCAGUG
This 354-nucleotide small RNA is filed under the name uncultured bacterium. Its description in RNAcentral is "bacterial SSU rRNA". The stretch from base 1 to 284 matches the Rfam family "Bacterial small subunit ribosomal RNA", at positions 69 to 358 of the family's 1533-position model. The record is from RNAcentral.